RNAcentral lists this transfer-messenger RNA (330 nucleotides) under Acetobacter sp. It matches the Rfam family "Alphaproteobacteria transfer-messenger RNA". Rfam says of the family: Bacterial tmRNA, also known as 10Sa RNA or SsrA, is named for its dual tRNA and mRNA-like properties. Lineage: Bacteria; Pseudomonadati; Pseudomonadota; Alphaproteobacteria; Acetobacterales; Acetobacteraceae. The record is from RNAcentral.
CGCUUGCACUUUUCUGCAUUUCCGUGAUAAAAAGAUUAUGUUGGAAUUUUUCCAACUAUGGCGAUAAACGAUGUACGGAAUAGGCGUAGUGGACCCGGGGGCGGUACCCGGCGUCUCCACCAAAAGAGUUUGAUUUUAAAGACAAAUUCCUAUGGUUGGGGGGACGAAACAGGAUCGACACGCGUAGUAAAGGUAUUUCUUUCGCUCGGCAUUGUACCACCGUUAUCGGGCUGAUUUUACAAGUGCCAAUGAUGAUUCUGAGGUGCUCGCUGUCGCAGCUUAAGCGAUAAGCGCGGUUCGGAAGGCACCGGGCAACAGAAGCCUUCCACU